CCGCAGUGGCGGCGGCCGCGCCCGCAGCACUUCCAGCCGCGCGAGGAGCACCCGUGGCAGCCCGUCAAGCAGGAGCCGGAGUCGCCCACCGGCCCCCAGAGGAACCUGCCCGUGGGCGUGCCUAUCCCGACCAGCGGUCCCGCAAACGUUCGCAGCUUCAUCCCUCGUGCAGCUGGGCAGCAGGGCCCGAGAUUUUAAAUGAAAACUAGCUGCCAAUUUGGACAGGCAUAUGUUUCGUGGCACGCAGCCAUGUGAGGAAGCAGUGGAGAAAUGAGUGAAGCAUAAGCCCUGACAUGUACAUCAUGGCGUGUAUCAUGUUAACCUUUUGUCUUAUGUAAACUUUUGUGUGGGAUAACUGAAUUAAGAGAAUUGACCUCUUUGGUGUUGUGUUUACAAAAGUACUGAUACAAUGUAAUGUAUUGCUAGUAGUUGCCGAAGUUAGAAAUGUAGCUGGCAGAUGUUUUCCCAUGUACAGGGUAUUACACUGUGUCCAUAGAGAAAGGGCACUGUGAUAAACUUUGCCAGUUACUACUGACUACAUACAUUUAUCUUGACUGUAAUGUCAGUGUCCCCCAUGCGUGUCCAUAUGUGUGAUACUGCGCAUACCCAAAAUGAGGAGGAAAAAUAAAAUUAAAAGAAAGUGCAGAAGAAAGUAUAAUCUUUCCAGUAGUCUGUUAUAUGCAGAAAUUGAUGUAUAUUCUUUUUAAGAGCUAUAAGAAAUAAUGUGAAGCUUGUGUAAUUUUAAAUGUUAAUGUUGUUAUCAUAUAUAUUUUAUUGUAAAGGAAACAUUAUAAUCAGUCAUGUGUUUACAAACAUGUAGUUUCUUUUAUUACUUGGCAAAGGAAGCUGAAGACCUGGCCAGAAAAGCAUCACACUGUGUUUAUGCCCAAAAGCAAAAGCGGUAAUAGCAUACACUCCAAUGUUUUUAGUAGUGUAGCACUUACUUUCUACUAUGGCUGAGUCUACGGUUUGCUUUGUCGGAUAACAAUGUAAUAAUGUGCGUGUGUGCCUGCAUGUGUGCACAC
Long non-coding RNA from Schistocerca americana (American grasshopper), 1025 nucleotides. RefSeq lists it as uncharacterized. Lineage: Eukaryota; Metazoa; Arthropoda; Insecta; Orthoptera; Acrididae. The record is from RefSeq and is a predicted model, not a curated record. The transcript has 3 exons.